AAGGAGCACCGAUACCGUAAAGGUUCCCCCGCCCCCGCAAUCGUGUGGGAUCUGGUGGUUGGGAGAGGUGCCAGGGUUCUGUAGUGGGAUUCUGGUGGGUGCACAACAAACAUUGAGGCACGUCCCGGUUUCGGGGGUGUCGCCUGGUCUACGGGAACGUGGGGCUGGGGUCGCUGAACACACUGUUGGGUCCUGAGGCAACAGGCCCGCAGGCUCGCCCCCUGUUUUUUGGGUGUGGUGGGUGCUGGUCCCUGACUGUUGGUUGGGGGUUCUGAUUGUCGCCCUGCUUGGUGGUGGGGUGUGGUGUUUGAUUUGUGGAUAGUGGUUGCGAGCAUCAAGCCGCACGAUGUGGCCGGCUCUGGUGGGGCUGUCUCUCUUUGUGGGGGAUGGUUUUUCGUCAGUGUUGGUUGGUGUGGUUUGUUGUAGUGUGAUUCUUUUUUCUCAUUUUUCUUGGUUUGUUUUGUGU
This 466-nucleotide unclassified non-coding RNA is filed under the name Mycolicibacterium insubricum. RNAcentral describes it as "partial 16S-23S ribosomal RNA intergenic spacer". Lineage: Bacteria; Bacillati; Actinomycetota; Actinomycetes; Mycobacteriales; Mycobacteriaceae. The record is from RNAcentral.